Long non-coding RNA from Gorilla gorilla gorilla (western lowland gorilla), 6792 nucleotides. RefSeq lists it as uncharacterized. The transcript is spliced from 3 exons. Lineage: Eukaryota; Metazoa; Chordata; Mammalia; Primates; Hominidae. The record is from RefSeq and is a predicted model, not a curated record.
CCCCCCCACCGCGCCCCCCUCCGGGGACCCCAGGACAGCAGGUCCGGGGAGCGGGGCGCGCAGGGUAGCCUGGGCCAAGGGCAAGCGGGCGCGGGGAGCAGGGGCGGGGCAGGCGCGGACCCUCCCUCCCCAGGACCCGCCAGACGCCCGGGGCCCCCAACGGCCAGCACGGUCCGAAUCGACCCCAAGCUUGACCCGAGGGCAGCGGGGCCUCCGGGAAUGCCUGGCCAGGGCGGUGUCGCCGGGCAUAAAUGGGGGAGGUGGCGGCCGGGGCAGGAACCGGGUCAGGGCCAUUCUGGUAGUCUCCUGCCCACCCCUCCCCAAGCCGAGCUCCCGGCCUCCCUCCCUCUCCCCGGUCCAGGGCUGAGGACUGGGGAAGCUGAGUCCCGGGACGGGUAUGGGGGGCGUGGGGCUUGGGAUGCAGCCGGACCUCCGGGAACAGCAGGGGGCCCUGGAGCCACCAGGAGGGAGAAGGCCCCGUCCCUGAGCCAGGCUCGCAGGAUGUUUAUCCCAGGAAAUCCAGAGGAUCAGAACCAGGCAGGACCCGGCACUGGGACGGAGGCAGCUGUCUGCAGGGCGUUUACCGUAGAUAUGUAUCACCUGUUCUGAGACGGAGCCGGGGAGGCUGUUUUUAAUCAUCCAGGAGGUUGUAAAAUGUUUCCCGACGUUACGAGGACAGCUGCUGGAAUAAUGAUGCAGGUAGCUGGCACGCACGCAGUGCAAAGGUUUCACCAGGCGCGGUCUUCUAUGCCUAUCACCUGAUCAAUACCAGCAGCAGCCACGGUAAGGUGUAAUACACACUGGCGUCAUCUAACUUGCCAUGUGAGGAAACUGAGGCACACAAAGGGCAACUGGCUUGCUCAAGGUCGCGUGAAUGGCAAAGCGUGGAUCUGGGAUUCAAGCCCAGACAAUUGGGCUCCAGAAUUGACUUUAUUAGUCAUGAUCACUCCAGAGAAAACAUCAAGCACUUUUCAUUACAUGUUUAAUGAAAAUGAUGUUAAAGUGGUUUUGUAGGAGAAAACAUUUCAUUCAUGUAAAUACAUUUUACUGCAUUCUAAAAUCUAGCAGGAAAAGAUGUGGCCUAACUACCGUCAAGAUUCAGGUACAUUUCAUUGGAAAUACAAGCACAUUGGACAUGGGAAAAUACUGGGGAACUUUACACGGAAGAGAAUGCAUCUGAUAGUCUGGCGAACUAGCAUUUGCUGGAUUUUUAGGACAUAUGGGAGGCCGGGUGCGGUGACCUCCCCCAGCAAUCCCAGCAAUUGGGGAGGCUGAGGCCAGUGGAUUGCUCAAGCCCAGGAGUCCAAGACUAGCCCGGGCAACAUGGUACAACCUCAUCUCUAUGAAAAAAAUACAAAAAAUUAGCCGGGCGUGGUGGUGCACAGCUGUAGUCUCAGCUACGUGGGAGGUUGAGGUGGGAGAAUCACCUGAGCCUGGGGAAGUCAAGGCUGCAGUGAGCCGAGAUUGCACCACUGCACUCCAGCCUGGGUAACAGAGUGAGACCCUGUCUCAACAAACAAAACACAAAAAUAUAUAUAUGCUGAAUGCUCAGUGAGCUGUAACAUGUGAGGCAGCCCCCAGGGGUGCAGGGAUGAACCGCUAAGAAGGCGUAUGUUCCCACGGGGUGCAGAGAUGAACCCCUGUCUGAGAAGGUGCAUGUACCCACGGGGUGCAGAGAUGAACCCCUGUCUGAGAAGGUGCAUGUACCCAUGGGGUGCAGAGAUGAACCUCUGAGAAGGUGCAUAUACCCACGGGGUGCAGAGAUGAACCCCUGUCUGAGAAGGCACAUGUACCCACGGGGGUGCAGAGAUGAACCUCUGAGAAGGCGCAUGUACCCACGGGGCGCAGAGAUGAACCCCUGUCUGAGAAGAUGCAUGUACCCACGGGGGUGCAGAGAUGAACCUCUGGGAAGGCGCAUGUACCCACGGGGCACAGAGAUGAACCCCUGUCUGAGAAGAUGCAUGUACCCACGGGGGUGCAGAGAUGAACCUCUGGGAAGGCGCAUGUACCCACGGGGCACAGAGAUGAACCCCUGUCUGAGAAGAUGCAUGUACCCACGGGGGUGCAGAGAUGAACCUCUGGGAAGGCGCAUGUACCCACGGGGUACAGAGAUGAACCCCUGUCUGAGAAGAUGCAUGUACCCACGGGGUGCAGAGAUGAACCCCUGUCUGAGAAGGUGCAUGUACCCACGGGGUGCAGAGAUGAACCCCUCUCUGAGAAGACGCAUGUACCCACGGGGGUGCAGAGAUGAACCUCUGGGAAGGUGCAUGUACCCACGGGGUGCAGAGAUGAACCCCUGUCUGAGAAGGCACAUGUACCCAUGGGGGUGCAGAGAUGAACCCCUGUCUGAGAAGGCACAUGUACCCACGGGGUGCAGAGAUGAACCUCUGAGAAGGCGCAUGCACGGGGUGCAGAGAUGAACCCCUGUCUGAGAAGGUGCAUGUACCCACGGGGUGCAGAGAUGAACCCCUGUCUGAGAAGGUGCAUGUACCCAUGGGGUGCAGAGAUGAACCUCUGAGAAGGUGCAUAUACCCACGGGGUGCAGAGAUGAACCCCUGUCUGAGAAGGCACAUGUACCCACGGGGGUGCAGAGAUGAACCUCUGAGAAGGCGCAUGUACCCACGGGGCGCAGAGAUGAACCCCUGUCUGAGAAGAUGCAUGUACCCACGGGGGUGCAGAGAUGAACCUCUGGGAAGGCGCAUGUACCCACGGGGCACAGAGAUGAACCCCUGUCUGAGAAGAUGCAUGUACCCACGGGGGUGCAGAGAUGAACCUCUGGGAAGGCGCAUGUACCCACGGGGCACAGAGAUGAACCCCUGUCUGAGAAGAUGCAUGUACCCACGGGGGUGCAGAGAUGAACCUCUGGGAAGGCGCAUGUACCCACGGGGUACAGAGAUGAACCCCUGUCUGAGAAGAUGCAUGUACCCACGGGGUGCAGAGAUGAACCCCUGUCUGAGAAGGUGCAUGUACCCACGGGGUGCAGAGAUGAACCCCUCUCUGAGAAGACGCAUGUACCCACGGGGGUGCAGAGAUGAACCUCUGGGAAGGUGCAUGUACCCACGGGGUGCAGAGAUGAACCCCUGUCUGAGAAGGCACAUGUACCCAUGGGGGUGCAGAGAUGAACCCCUGUCUGAGAAGGCACAUGUACCCACGGGGUGCAGAGAUGAACCUCUGAGAAGGCGCAUGCACGGGGUGCAGAGAUGAACCCCUGUCUGAGAAGGUGCAUGUACCCACGGGGUGCAGAGAUGAACCCCUGUCUGAGAAGGUGCAUGUACCCAUGGGGUGCAGAGAUGAACCUCUGAGAAGGUGCAUAUACCCACGGGGUGCAGAGAUGAACCCCUGUCUGAGAAGGCACAUGUACCCACGGGGGUGCAGAGAUGAACCUCUGAGAAGGCGCAUGUACCCACGGGGCGCAGAGAUGAACCCCUGUCUGAGAAGAUGCAUGUACCCACGGGGGUGCAGAGAUGAACCUCUGGGAAGGCGCAUGUACCCACGGGGCACAGAGAUGAACCCCUGUCUGAGAAGAUGCAUGUACCCACGGGGGUGCAGAGAUGAACCUCUGGGAAGGCGCAUGUACCCACGGGGUACAGAGAUGAACCCCUGUCUGAGAAGAUGCAUGUACCCACGGGGUGCAGAGAUGAACCCCUGUCUGAGAAGGUGCAUGUACCCACGGGGUGCAGAGAUGAACCCAUCUGAGAAGGCACAUGUACCCACGGGGUGCAGAGAUGAACCCCUCUCUGAGAAGACGCAUGUACCGACGGGGGUGCAGAGAUGAACCUCUGGGAAGGUGCAUGUACCCACAGGGUGCAGAGAUGAACCCCUGUCUGAGAAGAUGCAUGUACCCACGGGGUGCAGAGAUGAACCCUGGUCUGAGAAGGUGCAUGUACCCACGGGGUGCAGAGAUGAACCCAUCUGAGAAGGCACAUGUACCCACGGGGUGCAGAGAUGAACCCCUGAGAAGGCGCAUGUACCCACGGGGUGCAGAGAUGAACCCGUCUGAGAAGGUACAUGUACCCAUGGGGUGCAGAGAUGAACCCAACUGAGAAGGAGCAUGUACCCACAGGGUGCAGAGAUGAACCUGUCUGAGAAGGCGCACACACCCACAGCUGCUCCUCAUCUUAGCACCACAGUGCCAGCCCCACCCCGUCUUUGAUAAGCCCUGGCCUUCCAGGGCCUCCCUCAGAGAACCAGCUCCUGCCGAGUCCCUGAACGUAGCUGCGGUCUGGGGUGCUGACACUUGGCACUGGGAGAAACCCUCACCAGUAGCAUCACCCCCCAGUGAGCCAAGAUCGCACCACAGCAGCAUCACCGGGGAGGGAGUCACGUGCUUGUCACUGCAGAACUCUGGAGGGGCAGGCUCUCACGUGGGUGGGGGCCAUGGAGGACGCAGCGUGGGAUUUAAAAUGAGCCCAAUGAAGGGAAAUGCUGGUUCUUCAAUGUCCAUGAGCUCAAGCCCUGUGGGAGGUGUAGCCUCGAUUAUUUUGCACAUAUCUGAACAGCAUUCACCCCCAGUUGGAUACACCCCUUUCCUCGAAGCACAGAUUGGAACUCAAGGUCACUGAAGUGCUUUCUGGCCGCAUCAUGGAGAGAAAGGCAUUUUCUCACUCAGGCAUCACCCCGCGAACGUGGCGUGCCAUGUUUUAGCAUCUAAGUGUGUCCCCCGAGGAGGCAGGGUUAUGCUGUAAUCACAAGCAACCCCCAAAUCUCAACGGCAUUAACGACACAGGGUAAUUUAUCAUGGGAUUGCGUGUCCACCUGGGUCCCCGCGGAGCUCUGUUGACUGGAGUCGCUCGGAGCCCCCGGCGCGAAUGCUGGAUGGCCGGGCGGGGAGGAGCGCUCAGGGGCUUCACGCGGUCAACACCCUACUCCGAAGUGACUCCCGCUGCUUCCAGCCGUCACCUGCUGGACAGAGACCGUCACACGGGCCCCUGCACGCAGUGGGGUGGGAAGGGAGAUCCUACCGCGUACCUGGAAGACGGGAGAACAGGGGUGUGUCCGUGAGUAGUGCUCUCUCUCAGUCCGCACAGCAGCCUUCCAGCAAAUCGGGAUUUUAUGCCAAACUCGCCCCACGCCCCCAAAUGCCAGGCUCCCCAGGGUAGCAACGAAUGACACGUUGUCCAAUCAGACUUCAGUGCAACCAUGUCACAGAAGACAUGACUAAAGCAAAACAGGACUGGGUGGUGCGCAUUUUGGUUUUGACGAGGUUGGGUCUGGGUCUCUGCUUCCCUCUCCUGGGCCAAGAUCCUCUGGGCGUGGAGUUCAGGAAUGAGGGUGGGACCUUCCCCAGGAGACCCAAGUAUGGGCAGCAGUUGCUGGGACCAAGUCCUCACUGAGAGUGACUUCGACAAACAUCCAUUGGCAGCUCCAGCUCAGGCCCAGGAGACAAAGUGGGGGUCACUGACACCCCGGAUUUUUUUUUAAUGACUGAAUCAUGAUUUGAACGCUGGUCUGUUGGAUUUCAAGAUCUGUGAUUUUCUCACUGAACACGCUAACUCCUGGGACAGCAGAGUUCCUUAGAUUGGACCUAAUAACACACUGAUCCCCUCCCCUCCUGCUUUUCUGUAUUUUUAAAAAAUUAUUUUGUUUUUAAUUCACAAAUAUUGUAUAUGUUAUAUGGGGUAGAAUGUGAUGCUGAUAUAUGUUUAAAAUGUGGAAUGAUUAAAUCAGGCUAAUUUACUUUUUUUUCCUAAAAGGACCUUGGCUUCAGAAUUAACUUUAAUUUUCAUUCCACUUUGCUUAUAUGGCCUUGGCAAGAUCAGUCCUUGUAGCACGGCCGGGACUUAAGCUCUGAACCACCAGUGAGGAGGGCGUUGGUCUGAGCCUGCUUUUCCAAGUCCUAUCUUCUCUUCUUGGGUUCAGGCAGCAGAUCCGACUGUAAGUGGCUUUAAAGAGACAGCAGACACGUUUGUGGCAGUUUAUUCAUUGCCCCUGGAUGCCACCCUUGCAUGCCCCCUAUGUGACAGCUGGCGGCCCACAGCCCAUUAACCGUGCAGAUGGGCACAGCAGGCCUCAGGGAGGUGAUGUGGGUUCAGUGUGCCGAACAUGAAGAGAUGCAGGGGACUCAAACCCACUGGCCGACACACCACCCGCUUCUCCAGGCAAAGAGGUGAGUCCCAACCAGUGAAGAGAAGGGAGAAGUGGUGCCAGGGCAAGAACGUGUGUGUGCCUCUGUGUGUGCCUGUGUGUGCUUGUGUGUGUGUGCAUGUGUGUGCAUGUGUCUGUGUGUGUGCACAUGAGCUUCUGUAUGUCUGCAGCUGCACAUGUGCAUAUAUGUGCAUGUGUGUGCAUGUGUGCCUGAGUAUGUGUGCAUGUGCACCUUUGUGUGCCUCAGUAUGUACACGUGUGUGCAUGCAUGUGCAUGUGUGCUUGUGUGUGUGCAUGAGCCUUCUGUGCAUGCACAUGUGCGCCUAAGCAUGUACCUGUGUGUGCAUGCAUGUGUGCAUGUCUGUGCCUAAGUAUGUACACAUGUGUGCAUGCAUGUGUGUGCCUAAGUGUGCGCACAUGUGUGCAUGUGUGUGUGCAUGUGUGCCUGUGUGCCUAUGUACAUGUGUACCUCUGUGUGUGUGCCUGCACAUGGACACGCAUGUGUGUGCAUGUGUUUGCCUGAGUAUGUACAUGUGUGUGCAUGCAUGCCUCUGUGUAUGACUGAGUAUGUACGUGUGUGCAUGCCUGUGUGUGUGUGAGAGAGGGAAAGAGGGAGUGAAGGAGGGAGAAAGAGAAAAAGAGAAAAAGGGAGAGAGAGGAAGAUGGAAUGGGGAUAGAAAGGAGUUAUAAUAAAAAUGGAGGACUUUG